RNAcentral lists this transfer RNA (527 nucleotides) under uncultured Prochlorococcus sp. RNAcentral's name for it is "partial 16S-23S ribosomal RNA intergenic spacer". The stretch from base 210 to 282 matches the Rfam family "tRNA". Lineage: Bacteria; Bacillati; Cyanobacteriota; Cyanophyceae; Synechococcales; Prochlorococcaceae. The record is from RNAcentral.
CAGGGAGACAACAAAAUGUAAAUAUUAAUUUUGUCACCUUAGGUCGAUCGGUAUCUCACAUUCUUAAUUUAUUAAGGAUUUUAUUUCCUAAGUUUUUUCUAGGUCACACCCAUUACUUUUCCUGGGCCAUUAGCUCAGGUGGUUAGAGCGCACCCCUGAUAAGGGUGAGGUCCCUGGUUCAAGUCCAGGAUGGCCCAUAUCUCUAUGUUGGGGGUAUAGCUCAGUUGGUAGAGCGCCUGCUUUGCAAGCAGGAUGUCAGCGGUUCGAGUCCGCUUACCUCCACUGAUUACCACCUCUUUCAUGAUUUUAUGAAGGGAAAAUGUUUUGAGUAGUGAUCAAUUCUGAAAGAAUCUAGCUUCCUAAUCAAAUUGAAUUAAGAUGCUGGACUCAUUGAAUUAAUUUCAUUGUUUUCAGAGGAACCUUGACAACUGCAUAGAUUAUUUUAAAGACAAUAAGCAUCUUUAAUGAUGCAGAUUUAUUAUUUGUGCGAAUGCAUUAAUAACAAUUCUAUUAAGCUGAUGCUUCAA